GAUGAACGCUGGCGGCGUGCCUAAUACAUGCAAGUCGAGCGAACAGACGAGGAGCUUGCUCCUCUGACGUUAGCGGCGGACGGGUGAGUAACACGUGGAUAACCUACCUAUAAGACUGGGAUAACUUCGGGAAACCGGAGCUAAUACCGGAUAAUAUAUUGAACCGCAUGGUUCAAUAGUGAAAGACGGUUUUGCUGUCACUUAUAGAUGGAUCCGCGCCGCAUUAGCUAGUUGGUAAGGUAACGGCUUACCAAGGCAACGAUGCGUAGCCGACCUGAGAGGGUGAUCAGCCACACUGGAACUGAGAAACGGUCCAGACUCCUACGGGAGGCAGCAGUAGGGAAUCUUCCUCAAUGGGCGAAAGCCUGACGGAGCAACGCCGCGUGAGUGUAGCAGGUCUUCGGAUCGUAAAACUCUGUUAUUUGGGAGAAACACAUGUGUAAGUAACUAUGCACGUCUUGACGGUACCUAAUCAGAAAGCCACGGCUAACUACGUG
RNAcentral lists this ribosomal RNA (497 nucleotides) under uncultured bacterium. RNAcentral's name for it is "partial 16S ribosomal RNA". It matches the Rfam family "Bacterial small subunit ribosomal RNA", at positions 28 to 507 of the family's 1533-position model. The record is from RNAcentral.